CAAUGAUGAAGACACGUACACAAGCAGAAAGCUAUCUCAUUAUCCACGUAUAUGGGUCUACUUUGAUCUCUGUCUCAUCUUUCGGCGCUUCCUCUUCAGUCUCCUCAUGCGCUUCUUCUUCCACUGUAAAUAAUGAAGAUUAAUUGUCAAAGGAACAAACUAUUUCAUAUACAUAUUCAUAUUCAUAUAUAAGAAAAAUGUUUUUCUCAUGGCCACUCCCAAGAGGAAAUUGCAGAGACACUGCGCACCCCAAGGCAACAGGAUAUGACAAUGCCCCUUUCUUUGACAAGCAGGAACUAUCCACCACAAAGGGAGGAUGGCUCAACUGCAGUAAUCAUCAAAGAAUGGCUUGAUCUGCGACAAUUUACCUUUGAGUUUUGCGAAUAUUGACUAAUUCGCCCCAAUUUGAUUGUAAUUGACACACUUCAAACAUUUAAGUAACAAGGGACCUUGAAACAAAUUCAAAGACGAUUUGAAAAACAUCAGGGUUCUUUGAAAAUAUUGAUGCUAUUAAAGUCCAGCAAUCUAUAAAAUUCAAAAUCACUCAUGUUCAAUAUAAGAAUGAACUAUCCAAAAAUAAUAGUACCCAUGUUACAUAAACCUAAGCCAUGCAAGAAAUAAAUUGUCAAGUAAUUCCCUAGAAACGGAAAUAAAUAAUAGCAGUAACAAUCAUUAUUGUACUUUCUCAGUCAGGUGCUCAUUUUAAAUGCAUUAAAACAUGAUGCUAGUAUUACUAGAUUUUUCUAAUAUAUCCCGACAUCUUAACAGUCAUAUGCACAAUAAACAUACCAUUGGAUUGUGAUAUGGCUCCUACAAAUAAACAAUUCAUCAAUGGAAAUGCAUAUGAAUAUCUAAAUUUAUAUUACAAUUUUUAGCUGCAAAGCAGGCAACGGCCUAAUACUUUUUGUCAUAUACAAACCAUAGUGUGCAAAGUUUUAGGAUUAGAUGUCCAUCACCGUCAAAAUCCCCAUAUGUACAUUAUUGAUGGUUUAAUCACGUGUGUGCGCUUGUGUGGAAUGCGCUUUGGUUAAAUAAUUAAUCUUCUGCCUUCCAAAGGGUAUAUCAAUUUCAUAAAUUUUUAUAAAACAGGGGCUAUUAUAAAAGGAUUUACAAGAAAACAAAGUAUAUAACCAAUCAUUGUAGUAACAGAUCGUAAACCUAAUUGAUUACAGAUUAGGUGCACGAGAAAACAUUGAAAUAUCAUGAAUUUCCAGAUAAUUAAGGCUGAAAGAGCAAUCGAGAGGGAAUAUUCAAAAUUGAAAUCAAAAUAAUAAUCAAAGUGCAAAUGAACAUAUAAAUUUUUGAAGACUAGUAGCUUAUAGGGUUACCUUAGCACGCAUCUUCGAUCAACUUCUCUCUCUUUCAGUCUGUUCACUCUACGAGCCGAAUUUUGUCCAGGUAGGAAGAGCAAAUUGUGUUUUGUGUGGCUCUUCUUUCGCAUUUUAUAUGCUUAGCUUGCAAAACCCUAAUUCUUACGGGCUUCACAAUGCGUACAUGGGCUGGGCUAGAUAGUCCAGAAAUUGAAAUUCAAUUGUUUUUGAUUACAUUACUCUAAUAAUUUAGAUGGCCCUUUACGGGUUGAAUCUUGAUGGCCCAAUCCCUUUCUCAAAUUUAUUUAAUAUGUACCGAAAAAUAUAUUGAUACGUCAAGGAAAACAUGGUUAACUAUAAAAUAAUUUUCGAUCAAACGGAAAACUCUUUCUUUAUCUUAGAAAAAUGACUUAAAGAUUUGAGAUUCGUAAGUCAUUUUCCAACUCUACCUCCCAACAAUAAAUUUUAUUUUUUAUUUGUUUAACCUAUCUUUAGCAAAUUAUUUAUUUAUUGCUCAAUUAAUUAAAUUAUUUUCUUCAUAUAUGUAUGUCUUAUUUAUCUUAAAGCUCUUAAGUUUGGUAAUAUUGCUCUCCUUCAAUCCUAUUUUGUCAAAAAAAAAUCUCUUUAAAUUUUUUAAUAGAAAUGAUAAUAUUUUAUUUAUUCUUUCAUAAUGCAAAUUAUAUUUAAAAAUGGACAAAUUACAGUAAAAAAAUUAUUUAAUUAACUUAAGUACAAAUUAUGAUGAUCUUUUUCAUUUCAUUUUCAAUUUAACAACCAAACAAGGAAGAACAAGUUUAAUAUAUUUUCGUAAGAAAAUAUGCUUACGAAAUGAUGGCCAAUAUAAUAAAAGAAAUGAUUCAAUUUAUACAUUGAUGAAUUGUUUAUUUACGGGUUGAAUCUUGAUGGCCCAAUCCCUUUCUCAAAUUAAUCAUGUUUUGCUUGACGUAACAAACAGUGAAAAAUAAAAAAUAAAAAUUUCGGAAAACGUUUUACUUAAAACAAAAUGCAGCCUACAUAUUUCAUAAAUUUAAGAAAGGAAUUGGGCCAUCAAGAUUCAACCCGUAAAGGGCCAUCUAAAUUAUUAGAGUAUUGGAACUCUCAAACAAUUGAAUUUCAAUUUCUGGAUUAUCUAGCCCAGCCCAUGGACGCAUUGUGAAGCUCAUAAGAAUAUGGGUUUUGCAAUCUAAGCAUAUAAAUAGCGAAAGAAGAGCCACACGAAACACAAUCUGCUCCUCCUACCUGGACAAAAUUCGGCUCGUCGAGUGAGCAGACUGAAAGAGAGAGAAGUUGAUCG
This 2604-nucleotide long non-coding RNA is filed under the name Panax ginseng (ginseng). RNAcentral's name for it is "long non-coding RNA (PGIN_LNC016175)". Lineage: Eukaryota; Viridiplantae; Streptophyta; Magnoliopsida; Apiales; Araliaceae. The record is from RNAcentral.